GUCAGAGUUCUGUUUGUGUGUUUCCACAGGGAGAACAGCAGCCGAUUUGGAUUCCAGAGAGACUAACCAAAGCAAUUUCUACAGACCAAAAAGAAGAUGAUUUGACUCAAAUCCAUAACAGCUGAUAUCCAGAGCUCCAGAUUGGCUAUUCUUACAUCUGCGACAGUGAUUAACCAGGAUGCUUUUUUCAAUAUCUAUUUUAUUAUUGCAUUUUCCCACAUCAUAAAGUUCUAUUUUAUUUUUUGAGCUCAUACAAACCUAGGUUAAUGUUUUUCUGAGCAGUUUUAUUUUUUGACUGUGGAGUUUUUAAACAUUGCAAUGGAGAUUUCACCUAGGUAAAGCUACAAGGCCUUUGCUAUUGUCUUAUGUGUUGUACGUUUGUGUGCACUCUUGUGUUUUGUGUUGUAUGUCUGUAUGUGCAUAUGUCCAUAUUUCAUAUAUGAGGAGCGCUCAUGAAAAAAUGGGUCCGAAUUUUUUUUUUUUUUAUUCACGUGAUUUAAAUGGUUUAAUUUAAAUUAGGUAAACAGCUGUUAAGGAUUGUUUUUAAAGGAGGUUAACAGAUCUGUUUGUUUACUUUCACCUUUCCUUUUCAUUAUAUUUUAUAAUUCUGUUCAGGAUAAUGUCUCUUUAGCAUCAUUGCCAGAAUUCCUAUCUUCAUCCCAGUGCCGGUGAAGACAAAGAUAAAACCAAACUACAGCUUCUAUGAUAGCUAUCACAGUAAACUGUAUAAACUGAUGCAUCAAUGAAUUAACUCAACAAGUAAUGCUCAAUCAAGGAGUCGAUUUACUUUGGGAGGAAAUGGACAUAUUGAUAGACUUCUCCACUUUGAACUGCUUGCAGAACUUGCCUGGACUAUGUAUCACUUGUAUACAUUGUGAACUAUCAUUUGGUGCAGCAAAUUGUGGUAGUGCUGGCAUAUCUUUGCUGAUGGUGUCACCAGUGAUGCAAUUUUUCCAAAGGAGCCGUCAAUUGGCUUGGUGUCAUGGCAUUUCUGUAUUCUCCUCCCUUCUGCUAGUGAUGGUCUAAAAUUUGGGGGCCAACAGAGGUGAGGCAAAGAAACUCACCCCCACACUGGCACCAAGGCCAAAUUUGGGGGCCAACAGAGGUAAGGCAAAGAACCUCACCCCCCCACUGGUGCAUAGGCCUGUCCACAGUAUGGCUGUAUGCUAGACUGGUAGUUAGUGACAGGUAUGAUCCAAUUGCAGUGGUAUCAACCUAAGACAGGAGGCUGACGCCUAGAGGUCAGUUCAUCCGAUGACGGGUAAGAACCAUAUGUUGAAUUGGACAACCUAACAGGCACGGUCCCUAGCCACAUUGCUUGUUGUUUAAUUAAUCAGAAGGGAGGAGAUGCUGAGAGCCAUUGCCAAGUAGGAAUGACGCAUGGCAAUUUCUUUGUCAGCCUACCCAAUGUUGCUUAGAGGGAGGACUCUCCAUUGUGGAAAUGGGCUUGCCUUGGACCCAGGUCAUUUGCAGUGACAUUGCAUGAAUGUUUGAGAAAGGUGACCCUGCUCAAGGACCAGGGUGGAUCUGGGUUUAGGGAGGAUCCUGCUGGAUUAGGGUGGGUCCAGGUUUAGGGUGUAUCCUGCUGGGAAUAGGGAGUAUCCUGCUGCCUCAGGUGCCCUCCCGCUCCUUGAGUUCCCAUUGAGUUCUCGCGGGAUUCAGAGAGUAUUUUGGGAUGCAGAGCCGAGUGGGGGUGUGAAUUUUUCCCCAGACGUGCGUGUAGUGUGCCGGUGACAGUUCGGGAAUAAAGAAUUGCUGUUUGA
Molecule: long non-coding RNA, 1763 nt
Filed under: Marmota monax (woodchuck)
Lineage: Eukaryota; Metazoa; Chordata; Mammalia; Rodentia; Sciuridae
Source: RNAcentral